AAGGUUUGUCGGCUUUAGAUAGGAAACUUUCGGGUCACGAGAAAAUUGAUGUCAAACCCCGCAAAACCCGCAAUUCUUGCAAAAAACUAGAAAGUUAGAAUCACUAUUCGAUAUUAUCAUUUUUUGCAAGAAUUGCGGGUUUUGCGGGUUUUGACAUCAAUUUUCUCGUGACUCGAAAGUUUCCUAUCUAAAGCCGACAAACCCUUAUCCUAGUUUUUAUGCUCUAUCGAAUGAACAUAGUCCCGAUCCGAAAUUA
This 256-nucleotide small nucleolar RNA is filed under the name Tetranychus urticae (two-spotted spider mite). Its description in RNAcentral is "snoRNA tetur14g04175". The record is from RNAcentral. Lineage: Eukaryota; Metazoa; Arthropoda; Arachnida; Trombidiformes; Tetranychidae.